AUGUCUUCUUGGCCUUUUGGCUAAGAUCAAGUGUAGACAUUAAUAAUAUUGCUAUUUUAAUACUUUUUUUUUGGGGGGGGACGGAGUCUCUCUCUGUUGCCCAGGCUGGAGUGCAGUGGCAUGAUCCCGGCUCACUGCAACCUCCACCUC
Pongo abelii (Sumatran orangutan) is the source of this 150-nucleotide small nuclear RNA. Its record names the gene U2. It matches the Rfam family "U2 spliceosomal RNA". Rfam says of the family: U2 is a small nuclear RNA (snRNA) component of the spliceosome (involved in pre-mRNA splicing). Complementary binding between U2 snRNA (in an area lying towards the 5' end but 3' to hairpin I) and the branchpoint sequence (BPS) of the intron results the bulging out of an unpaired adenosine, on the BPS, which initiates a nucleophilic attack at the intronic 5' splice site, thus starting the first of two transesterification reactions that mediate splicing. Lineage: Eukaryota; Metazoa; Chordata; Mammalia; Primates; Hominidae. The record is from Ensembl.